CCUACGGGUGGCAGCAGUCGAGAAUCAUUCACAAUGGGGGAAACCCUGAUGGUGCGACGCCGCGUGGGGGAAUGAAGGUCUUCGGAUUGUAAACCCCUGUCAUGUGGGAGCAAAUUAAAAAGAUAGUACCACAAGAGGAAGAGACGGCUAACUCUGUGCCAGCAGCCGCGGUAAUACAGAGGUCUCAAGCGUUGUUCGGAAUCACUGGGCGGAAAGCGUGCGUAGGCUGUUUCGUAAGUCUUGUGUGAAAGGCGCGGGCUCAACCCGCGGACGGCACGUGAUACUGCGAGACUAGAGUAAUGGAGGGGGAACCGGAAUUCUCGGUGUAGCAGUGAAAUGCGUAGAUAUCGAGAGGAACACUCGUGGCGAAGGCGGGUUCCUGGACAUUAACUGACGCUGAGGCACGAAGGCCAGGGGAGCGAAAGGGAUUAGAUACCCCAGUAGUC
RNAcentral lists this ribosomal RNA (446 nucleotides) under uncultured bacterium. Its description in RNAcentral is "partial 16S ribosomal RNA". It matches the Rfam family "Bacterial small subunit ribosomal RNA", at positions 338 to 795 of the family's 1533-position model. The record is from RNAcentral.